GCGCCCUUAGCUCAACUGGCAGAGCAAGUGACUCUUAAUCACUAGGUUGUUGGUUCGAUUCCAACAGGGCGCA
This 73-nucleotide transfer RNA is filed under the name Gemmatimonadota bacterium. RNAcentral's name for it is "tRNA-Lys". It matches the Rfam family "tRNA". Rfam says of the family: Transfer RNA (tRNA) molecules are approximately 80 nucleotides in length. Their secondary structure includes four short double-helical elements and three loops (D, anti-codon, and T loops). Further hydrogen bonds mediate the characteristic L-shaped molecular structure. tRNAs have two regions of fundamental functional importance: the anti-codon, which is responsible for specific mRNA codon recognition, and the 3' end, to which the tRNAs corresponding amino acid is attached (by aminoacyl-tRNA synthetases). tRNAs cope with the degeneracy of the genetic code in two manners: having more than one tRNA (with a specific anti-codon) for a particular amino acid; and 'wobble' base-pairing, i.e. permitting non-standard base-pairing at the 3rd anti-codon position. The record is from RNAcentral. Lineage: Bacteria; Pseudomonadati; Gemmatimonadota.